This 819-nucleotide long non-coding RNA is filed under the name Taeniopygia guttata (zebra finch). RNAcentral describes it as "lncRNA (ENSTGUG00000019926.1)". Lineage: Eukaryota; Metazoa; Chordata; Aves; Passeriformes; Estrildidae. The record is from RNAcentral.
UCCCCUUUAGCUGUGUUCAGUAUUCUGCUAGGAAGGUGCAGAAUUGCUUCUCAUUACUCAGUUUUGCUUUUCCUCUUAUCCCAAGGCAGAUUAUUUGUUUCCAAGACGGCAUUAAUCACCAAGUGUCACUGAGAAAGUGAGGAGGAAAACACAAUUACAGUUUUGGCCAGAAAGAAGCAUUAGGAACAGCAUUGCAAGAGAUCUUCCAAAACAUGCAAAGCUUUCUAUGAAUUGAGAAAUUAAGAUAAUGGGGUUACAGAAAUAAAUCUGGUGCCAGUGUUUUAGCCUGACAAGAAAUAAACCUUUGACUCUUCAGGAUAUGCCUCCAAAGCAUCCAGUGCUGGGAGAAAAUAUGGAACACUUGAAGCCCCACUGACUGCAUAUGAGAAGAUAGCAAAGAAGCAACCACCAUGUUCCUUAAGAAAAUGCUAUUAUUAAACACAGCCACUUUUUCCUUUAGAAGAAGAUCCACAAGUCCCAAGAAAGACAGUAUGCAACUUGCAUGCAGCUAUGACAGAUUGCUGUUGGUUGAAGAGAGGCGGCUCAGGGAAUUCGGCUUGUCAGACUGAAGGGAAAAAAAGUCCUGCGGAGCUGAGAAAGUGAACGAUGUAUGAGCCCGAUGGUGCUGUGUAAUGAAAAUACAGCCUUACGCCGCAGCUACAAAACAAAAAAGGACUGAAUCACCCUCUGCAUCCCGCAAAAAGGACCUCCAGCGUGCCUUCCCCGGGCAGCCCUGACUUCCAGCUCCGUCUGCUGCCAGGCAGCUUUCUCCCGGGCACCUUCCCCUAAAAUCUGAAAACUCCCGGCAGUGCUGGUGCG